UGGGGAAUUUUGGACAAUGGGGGCAACCCUGAUCCAGCCAUUCCGCGUGAGUGAAGAAGGCCUUCGGGUUGUAAAGCUCUUUUGUCGGGGACGAAACGGUUACGACUAAUACUCGUGACAACUGACGGUACCCGAAGAAUAAGCACCGGCUAACUACGUGCCAGCAGCCGCGGUAAUACGUAGGGUGCGAGCGUUAAUCGGAAUUACUGGGCGUAAAGCGUGCGCAGGCGGUUUUGUAAGCCAGAUGUGAAAUCCCCGGGCUUAACCUGGGAAUGGCAUUUGGGACUGCAAGGCUAGAGUAUGGCAGAGGAGACUAGAAUUUCUGGUGUAGCAGUGAAAUGCGUAGAUAUCAGAAGGAAUACCGAUGGCGAAGGCAGGUCUCUGGGUCAAUACUGACGCUCAUGCACGAAAGCGUGGGGAGCAAACAGG
This 429-nucleotide ribosomal RNA is filed under the name uncultured bacterium. RNAcentral's name for it is "bacterial SSU rRNA". It matches the Rfam family "Bacterial small subunit ribosomal RNA", at positions 355 to 776 of the family's 1533-position model. The record is from RNAcentral.